RNAcentral lists this ribosomal RNA (404 nucleotides) under Actinomycetes bacterium. RNAcentral's name for it is "Actinobacteria bacterium partial 16S ribosomal RNA". It matches the Rfam family "Bacterial small subunit ribosomal RNA", at positions 355 to 776 of the family's 1533-position model. The record is from RNAcentral. Lineage: Bacteria; Bacillati; Actinomycetota; Actinomycetes.
UGGGGAAUAUUGGACAAUGGGCGCAAGCCUGAUCCAGCCAUGCCGCGUGAGUGAUGAAGGCCCUAGGGUGGUAAAGCUCUUUCACCGGUGAAGAUAAUGACGGUAACCGGAGAAGAAGCCCCGGCGAACUUCGUGCCAGCAGCCGCGGUAAUACGAAGGGGGCUGGCGUUGUUCGGAUUUACUGGGCGUAAAGCGCACGUGGGCGGACUUUUAAGUCAGGGGUGAAAUCCCGGGGCUCAACCCCGGAACUGCCUUUGAUACUGGAAGGCUCGAGUAUGGGAGAGGUGAGUGGAAUUCCGAGUGUAGAGGUGAAAUUCGUAGAUAUUCGGAGGAACACAAGUGGCGAAGGCGGCUCACUGGACCAUUACUGACGCUGAGGUGCGAAAGCGUGGGGAGCAAACAGG